This 449-nucleotide ribosomal RNA is filed under the name uncultured bacterium. RNAcentral's name for it is "partial 16S ribosomal RNA". It matches the Rfam family "Bacterial small subunit ribosomal RNA", at positions 29 to 523 of the family's 1533-position model. The record is from RNAcentral.
AACGAACGCUGGCGGCAUGCCUAACACAUGCAAGUCGAACGAGAUCUUCGGGUCUAGUGGCGCACGGGUGCGUAACGCGUGGGAAUCUGCCCUUUGGUUCGGAAUAACAGUUGGAAACGACUGCUAAUACCGGAUGAUGACGAAAGUCCAAAGAUUUAUCGCCAGAGGAUGAGCCCGCGUAGGAUUAGCUAGUUGGUGUGGUAAAGGCGCACCAGGGCGACGAUCCUUAGCUGGUCUGAGAGGAUGAUCAGCCACACUGGGACUGAGACACGGCCCAGACUCCUACGGGAGGCAGCAGUGGGGAAUAUUGGACAAUGGGCGAAAGCCUGAUCCAGCAAUGCCGCGUGAAUGAUGAAGGCCUUAGGGUUGUAAAGCUCUUUUACCCGGGAUGAUAAUGACAGUACCGGGAGAAUAAGCUCCGGCUAACUCCGUGCCAGCAGCCGCCGUAA